RNAcentral lists this ribosomal RNA (418 nucleotides) under uncultured eukaryote. RNAcentral's name for it is "bacterial SSU rRNA". It matches the Rfam family "Eukaryotic small subunit ribosomal RNA", at positions 592 to 1018 of the family's 1831-position model. The record is from RNAcentral.
CAAUAGCGUAUAUUAAAGUUGUUGCAGUUAAAAAGCUCGUAGUUGGAUUUCUGUUCUCGGGGAUUGGUCCGCCUCACGGUGAGCACUGGUAUCCUGGGGACAUCCUCUCGAAGGCGGGUGGUGCACUUAAUUGUGUGCUGCUUGGAUUCGGGACCUUUACUUUGAAAAAUUAGAGUGUUCAAAGCAGGCGUCGGCUUGAAUACAUUAGCAUGGAAUAAUGAGAUAGGACUUUGGUACUAUUUUGUUGGUUUGCGCACCAAGGUAAUGAUUAAUAGGGAUAGUUGGGGGUAUUCAUAUUCAAUUGUCAGAGGUGAAAUUCUUGGAUUUAUGGAAGAUGAACUUAUGCGAAAGCAUUUACCAAGGAUGUUUUCAUUAAUCAAGAACGAAAGUUAGGGGAUCGAAGAUGAUCAGAUACCGU